Molecule: ribosomal RNA, 820 nt
Filed under: uncultured organism
Description: SSU rRNA
Rfam family: Bacterial small subunit ribosomal RNA
Source: RNAcentral
GACGAACGCUGGCGGCGUGCUUAACACAUGCAAGUCGAACGAAGAGCGAUGGAAGCUUGCUUCUAUCAAUCUUAGUGGCGAACGGGUGAGUAACGCGUAAUCAACCUGCCCUUCAGAGGGGGACAACAGUUGGAAACGACUGCUAAUACCGCAUACGAUCUAAUCUCGGCAUCGAGGAUGGAUGAAAGGUGGCCUCUAUUUAUAAGCUAUCACUGAAGGAGGGGAUUGCGUCUGAUUAGCUAGUUGGAGGGGUAACGGCCCACCAAGGCGAUGAUCAGUAGCCGGUCUGAGAGGAUGAACGGCCACAUUGGGACUGAGACACGGCCCAGACUCCUACGGGAGGCAGCAGUGGGGAAUCUUCCGCAAUGGACGAAAGUCUGACGGAGCAACGCCGCGUGGGUGAUGACGGCCUUCGGGUUGUAAAGCUCUGUUAAUCGGGACGAAAGGCCUUCUUGCGAAUAGUUAGAAGGGUUGACGGUACCGGAAUAGAAAGCCACGGCUAACUACGUGCCAGCAGCCGCGGUAAUAACGUAGGUGGCGAGCGUUGUCCGGAAAUUAAUUGGGCGUAAAGGCGCGCGCCAGGCGGAUUUGUCAGUCUGUCUUAAAAGUUCGGGGGCUUAACCCCGUGAUGGGAUGGAAACUGCCAAUCUAGAGUAUCGGAGAGGAAAGUGGAAUUCCUAGUGUAGCGGUGAAAUGCGUAGAUAUUAGGAAGAACACCAGUGGCGAAGGCGACUUUCUGGACGAAAACUGACGCUGAGGCGCGAAAGCCAGGGGAGCGAACGGGAUUAGAUACCCCGGUAGUCCUGCGCCGUAAACGAUG